AUCCAAAAAAGAAAGCCCUCAGGCUCAAGAGACAGCAGCUGCUAUGAUUCUCACUCACUUCUCAGGUCCUAUUGCCACAUCAUCAACAGACAUUAGAACAUGGCCCUAUCCCAGCAUCAGAGGCACAUGUCCCUGGGAAGAGCUGGAGCAGUACUUUUGGAAACUAUUGGAACAUUGUGCUAGAUAUGUGUGUUCUUAUCCUGUUUCAGUUAUCUCUUGCUGUGUACAAAAUACCCCAAGGUUUAAAUAGCUUCAAACAAAAGAUCAUUUAUCAUGACAUUGGGAUUGACAUGAUAGGCUGAAGUUGCUCAUGUGACUGCUUUCAACUGAGAACUAAAACAUUCCAAAUCGGUUCUCUUCCUCCAGGGUAUCUCUCCAUGUAGCCUCUCACCAUGCAGUCAGUAAUCUAGUCUGCACUUCCUUACAGCUUGAAGAUACACUGACUUCCUAGAAGGAAGAAGCAGCAACCUCUGGAGUUGCUAUGACUGGUGCUUAAAAAUCCCAAAAUAGUACUUCUUUGGCAUUCUCUUAGUCAAAGAAAGUCACAGUCCCUGCCCAGAUUCAAUGAGAGGGAAAUGGAUUCUGUCUCCUUUGCUUACAGGGAUGGGAGGAAUUUUUUGUUUUGUGGUACCAGGAUUGGAACUUAGGGCCUCACACAUGUUGGACAAGCACUCUAAGUAAUAUUCCCCAACUUUGAGAUGGGAGGAAUUGUUUGUGGCCAUAUUUGGAGACUAGCUACCACUCUUUCUCCCCUCCAUGACUAGAUGCAUCUCAAGCAUGGACACAGGUUGAGCCAAUCAGACUCUCUCUCGAGAAUCUGAACCUGAAGACAAACUGUGGUUGAAAGGUACUGAAGAUGUUAUGAAUAGUCCUGGGCCAUAAGAUGAUCCAGGGAACAUUUUUCUUCAUAAGGGAGGCAGAAGAAGAACUAUGAGAAGCCAUGAGGCUACACAAGAGUCAAGGAAGAGUCACUUUGGCCUCCCCCACUUUGUUUCUGGGGUUUGGUUUCUAAUUUAAAUGAUAAUCAGAGAUAUUCUUAAAAAAACCCCACUAUAUUUAUUUGGGAAUUGCAGAUCAUCACAAGGGAAAUAUGUGUGCCAUAGUAAACUUUGACCAUACUUGAGGAGAACGAGGCAAAGGGAAACUUUUAAGGUGUAAUGAGACCCAGAAUUGGUGGUACACACCAGUAAUCCCAGCACUAGGAGACUGAGUCAGAAGGCUCACUUGAGUCCAAGAGUUCAACACCAGCCUGGGAAACAUAAGAAAACAUAAUAAUAAUAAAGUCAAAAUUAGAAUUAUAUAUGCCAUUUUGAAACAAUAAUAUUUGACUACAAGGAACAAUAACAAGGGAGACACUGGUCCAAGAUUGAACAGACAGUUGCUGGGCAGACAUCUUUGCAGAAGUAGUUUUGUGUAAGUUUGUGGUGGUCCUUGUGUGAAGUUGUGGUUCUGGCAGAGUCUUUUAUGAUAGUUCUUAUUAUGAAGCCUGCAUGAGAUCCCCUCCUUCCCAGCCUCCUGGUUUUAUUUACUUAUUUUGGUUAGGGCAUUACAAGUUACUUCAUUUUGAUUCUGACAACUUUGACAUAGCUUACUUAGAAUCCUGUUUCUGCCUGUCAGAAGAAUAGCCAUUCUCUUGUCCUAAAUGCAAGUGAAAAACCAUUGGUGACUUUCAGCAGGAGACUGGCAUAAUCUGUUUUGUUUAGUACUGGGGAUUGAACCCAGGGGUGCUUAAUCACUGAACCACAUUCCCCAGCCCUUUUUAAUAUUUUAUUUAGAGAAAGAGUCUCAUUAAGUUGCUUAGGGCCUUACUAAGUUGUUGACGCUGGCCUUAAACUUGCAAUCCUUCUGCUUCAGCUUCCUGAGCUGCUGGGACAUAAUCUAUUUUCUGCUUUCACAUUUUUCCUUUGUAGAUAAUGCUGCGGCAUGGGACCAGUGUAGUGGAAGCAGCGAGAUCUAAUAGGAAGUGGUAGAUGAUACUUGUUAGAGGGGGAAGUGGGCUUAGGUGGAGGUUUCAGGAGAGAUGCCUUGAAAUCUGUUUUGGAGUCAGGGACAUCAACACUUAUUUGAUUAGACAUAAGGAGUGAGGUAAAGAGAAGAAUCAAAGAAGAAUUCAAAAUUUCAGUCUUGAGCAAUUGGUAAAUGGAGAGGCCGAUUUGCUAAGACUCAGAAGCCUAGAGGAGGAGCAGCUUAAAGGAAGAGAUCAGAAUUCUGCUUUGUACGUGUUAACUUUGAUAUGCCUGCUGACAUGUCCAAAAGAACAUUUUCAUUGCCUCUCGGGUUGUACUGUUGUCCCUCUACCCUGGAUUGGAGGCCCCCUCAAGUACUGGGUCUGCCAAGUCCAGGGUAGACCUUCUUAAGCCAUUUAGACAUUCUAAAUUCUAAAAAUAUCAAGGUGCCUUAUUUGAUAUAUAAUUCAAAAUAAACAUAAUAUUAAACAUUGAAAAUCUUAAUUGUUUUCAGGGUGUUUGCCUAGCAUGGGCAAGGUCCUGAGUUCAAUCCCCAGCAGCAAAG
RNAcentral lists this long non-coding RNA (2511 nucleotides) under Marmota monax (woodchuck). Lineage: Eukaryota; Metazoa; Chordata; Mammalia; Rodentia; Sciuridae. The record is from RNAcentral.